ACACCUCAACUCUCAUGGUUUGCCGUGAUGAGCUUGGACUCUGGGGGAUUUGCUGGCCUGCGGUCAGCUCCCCUCAAAUGAAUCAGCUUUCCAGUGUUUGGUGGCAUCACGGGUGUGAUAAAUAUCUACGCUUGUGGGUUUCCUGCCAGGUAACCUUCAGUAAUGGGGGUUCGCUGGGGCUCAUAAAUGUCUCUCCUCAGUGAAGACAGCUUUGUGAAC
Molecule: unclassified non-coding RNA, 219 nt
Filed under: uncultured Tomentella
Lineage: Eukaryota; Fungi; Basidiomycota; Agaricomycetes; Thelephorales; Thelephoraceae
Description: sequence contains ITS2
Source: RNAcentral